Molecule: ribosomal RNA, 468 nt
Filed under: uncultured bacterium
Lineage: Bacteria
Description: partial 16S ribosomal RNA
Rfam family: Bacterial small subunit ribosomal RNA
Source: RNAcentral
GACGAACGCUGGCGGCGUGCUUAACACAUGCAAGUCGAACGGAAAGGCCCUGCUUUUGGGGUGUGCUCGAGUGGCGAACGGGUGAGUAACGCGGGAGUAACCUGCUCUUGACUGUGGUAUAACUUCAGGAAACUGGGGCUAAUAGCGGAGAGGAGCUCCUGCGGCAGGGUGGGGGUUGGAAAGUUUGGGCGGUUGGGGAUGGACUCGCUGCUUAUCAGCUUGUUGGUGGGGUGGUGGCUUACCAAGGCUUGGGUGGGUAGCCCGCCUGAGAGGGUGACCGGCCAUAUUGGGAGAGAGACGCGGCCGAGACUCAUGCGGGAGGCCGCAGUGGGAAAUUGUGCAAAAUGCGCGGAAGCCAGACGCAGACACGCCGCGUGCGGGAUGACGGCCCUCGGGUUGUACACCGCUUUCGCCUGUGACGAAGCGUGAGUGACGGUAAUGGGUAAAGAAGCACCGGCUAACUACGUG